This 87-nucleotide transfer RNA is filed under the name Rickettsiales bacterium. Its description in RNAcentral is "tRNA-Leu". It matches the Rfam family "tRNA". From Rfam's summary of the family: Transfer RNA (tRNA) molecules are approximately 80 nucleotides in length. The record is from RNAcentral. Lineage: Bacteria; Pseudomonadati; Pseudomonadota; Alphaproteobacteria; Rickettsiales.
GCCCGGGUGGUGGAAUGGUAGACACAGGGGACUUAAAAUCCCCCGGGAGUAACUCCCGUAGCGGUUCAAGUCCGCUCUUGGGCACCA